UGGGGAAUUUUGGACAAUGGGGGAAACCCUGAUCCAGCCAUCCCGCGUGUGCGAUGAAGGCUUCGGGUUGUAAAGCACUUUUGGCAGGAAAGAAACGUCAUGGGUUAAUACCCCGUGAAACUGACGGUACCUGCAGAAUAAGCACCGGCUAACUACGUGCCAGCAGCCGCGGUAAUACGUAGGGUGCAAGCGUUAAUCGGAAUUACUGGGCGUAAAGCGUGCGCAGGCGGUUCGGAAAGAAAGAUGUGAAAUCCCAGAGCUCAACUUUGGAACUGCAUUUUUAACUACCGGGCUAGAGUGUGUCAGAGGGGGGUGGAAUUCCGCGUGUAGCAGUGAAAUGCGUAGAUAUGCGGAGGAACACCGAUGGCGAAGGCAGCCUCCUGGGAUAACACUGACGCUCAUGCACGAAAGCGUGGGGAGCAAACAGG
Molecule: ribosomal RNA, 428 nt
Filed under: Acidobacteriota bacterium
Lineage: Bacteria; Pseudomonadati; Acidobacteriota
Description: Acidobacteria bacterium partial 16S ribosomal RNA
Rfam family: Bacterial small subunit ribosomal RNA
Source: RNAcentral